CGAGGAUAGGUAGAGAGAAAACAAGAGACGAGGAUAGGUAGAGAGAAAACAAGAGACGAGGAUAGGUAGAGAGAAAACAAGAGACGAGGAUAGGUAGAGAGAAAACAAGAGACGAGGAUAGGUAGAGAGAAAACAAGAGACGAGGAUAGGUAGAGAGAAAACAAGAGACGAGGAUAGGUAGAGAGAAAACAAGAGACGAGGAUAGGUAGAGAGAAAACAAGAGACGAGGAUAGGUAGAGAGAAAACAAGAGACGAGGAUAGGUAGAGAGAAAACAAGAGACGAGGAUAGGUAGAGAGAAAACAAGAGACGAGGAUAGGUAGAGAGAAAACAAGAGACGAGGAUAGGUAGAGAGAAAACAAGAGACGAGGAUAGGUAGAGAGAAAACAAGAGACGAGGAUAGGUAGAGAGAAAACAAGAGACGAGGAUAGGUAGAGAGAAAACAAGAGACGAGGAUAGGGAGAGAGAAAACAAGAGA
This is a long non-coding RNA of Oncorhynchus keta (chum salmon), 476 nucleotides long. RefSeq lists it as uncharacterized. The record is from RefSeq and is a predicted model, not a curated record. The transcript is spliced from 3 exons. Lineage: Eukaryota; Metazoa; Chordata; Actinopteri; Salmoniformes; Salmonidae.